This 238-nucleotide long non-coding RNA is filed under the name Mytilus galloprovincialis (Mediterranean mussel). Lineage: Eukaryota; Metazoa; Mollusca; Bivalvia; Mytilida; Mytilidae. The record is from RNAcentral.
GUACGGCCUUCAAGACGGAGCUUUGGCUCACCCCAAACAGUAAUCUCAGCUUGUUUUUGCAUAAAAAUUGCUUCCAGGUUCAAGCAAUACUGAUGUUUUUUUAAGUAAGGAAAUCGAAGGAAAACGGGUCAUGUUUAACCUUUUUACUGAGAGAGAAAAAAAAACCUCUCUUAGGGGCCUCAAUCGGCGGCCCCCAAACCCCUGCCUCCCCUGAAUUCAAACCCUAGUUACGGCCCUG